This 403-nucleotide ribosomal RNA is filed under the name uncultured Pannonibacter sp. Its description in RNAcentral is "bacterial SSU rRNA". It matches the Rfam family "Bacterial small subunit ribosomal RNA", at positions 379 to 774 of the family's 1533-position model. Lineage: Bacteria; Pseudomonadati; Pseudomonadota; Alphaproteobacteria; Hyphomicrobiales; Stappiaceae. The record is from RNAcentral.
AAGCCUGAUUCAGCCAUGCCGCGUGUGUGAAGAAGGUCUUCGGAUUGUAAAGCACUUUAAGUUGGGAGGAAGGGUUGUAGAUUAAUACUCUGCAAUUUUGACGUUACCGACAGAAUAAGCACCGGCUAACUUCGUGCCAGCAGCCGCGGUAAUACGAAGGGGGCUAGCGUUGUUCGGAAUCACUGGGCGUAAAGCGCACGUAGGCGGACUUUUAAGUCAGGGGUGAAAUCCCGGGGCUCAACCUCGGAACUGCCUUUGAUAAUGGAAGUCUGGAGUCCGAGAGAGGUGAGUGGAACUCCGAGUGUAGAGGUGAAAUUCGUAGAUAUUCGGAAGAACACCAGUGGCGAAGGCGGCUCACUGGCUCGGUACUGACGCUGAGGUGCGAAAGCGUGGGGAGCAAACA